Molecule: ribosomal RNA, 1342 nt
Filed under: uncultured bacterium
Lineage: Bacteria
Description: 16S ribosomal RNA
Rfam family: Bacterial small subunit ribosomal RNA
Source: RNAcentral
GACGAACGCUGGCGGCGUGCUUAACACAUGCAAGUCGAACGGAAAGGCCCUGCUUUUGUGGGGCGCUCGAGUGGCGAACGGGUGAGUAACGCGUGAGUAACCUGCCCUUGACUUUGGGAUAACCUCAGGAAACUGGGGCUAAUACCGGAUAGGAGCUCCUGCUGCAUGGUGGGGGUUGGAAAGUUUCGGCGGUUGGGGAUGGACUCGCGGCUUAUCAGCUUGUUGGUGGGGUAGUGGCUUACCAAGGCUUUGACGGGUAGCCGGCCUGAGAGGGUGACCGGCCACAUUGGGACUGAGAUACGGCCCAGACUCCUACGGGAGGCAGCAGUGGGGAAUAUUGCACAAUGGGCGGAAGCCUGAUGCAGCAACGCCGCGUGCGGGAUGACGGCCUUCGGGUUGUAAACCGCUUUCGCCUGUGACGAAGCGUGAGUGACGGUAAUGGGUAAAGAAGCACCGGCUAACUACGUGCCAGCAGCCGCGGUGAUACGUAGGGUGCGAGCGUUGUCCGGAUUUAUUGGGCGUAAAGGGCUCGUAGGUGGUUGAUCGCGUCGGAAGUGUAAUCUUGGGGCUUAACCCUGAGCGUGCUUUCGAUACGGGUUGACUUGAGGAAGGUAGGGGAGAAUGGAAUUCCUGGUGGAGCGGUGGAAUGCGCAGAUAUCAGGAGGAACACCAGUGGCGAAGGCGGUUCUCUGGGCCUUUCCUGACGCUGAGGAGCGAAAGCGUGGGAGCGAACAGGCUUAGAUACCCUGGUAGUCCACGCUGUAAACGGUGGGUACUAGGUGUGGGGUCCAUUCCACGGGUUCCGUGCCGUAGCUAACGCUUUAAGUACCCCGCCUGGGGAGUACGGCCGCAAGGCUAAAACUCAAAGGAAUUGACGGGGCCCCGCACAAGCGGCGGAGCAUGCGGAUUAAUUCGAUGCAACGCGUAGAACCUUACCUGGGUUUGACAUGGAUCGGGAGUGCUCAGAGAUGGGUGUGCCUCUUUUGGGGUCGGUUCACAGGUGGUGCAUGGCUGUCGUCAGCUCGUGUCGUGAGAUGUUGGGUUAAGUCCCGCAACGAGCGCAACCCUUGUUCACUGUUGCCAGCACGUUAUGGUGGGGACUCAGUGGAGACCGCCGGGGUCAACUCGGAGGAAGGUGGGGAUGACGUCAAGUCAUCAUGCCCCUUAUGUCCAGGGCUUCACGCAUGCUACAAUGGCUGGUACAGAGAGUGGCGAGCCUGUGAGGGUGAGCGAAUCUCGGAAAGCCGGUCUCAGUUCGGAUUGGGGUCUGCAACUCGACCUCAUGAAGUCGGAGUCGCUAGUAAUCGCAGAUCAGCAACGCUGCGGUGAAUACGUUCCCGGG